CAGUGCCUGGCAGGAGCAGAGCGGGCUUCCAGGGAGGUAUUCACCUGGUCAGCGUCAGGAACCAUCCUAACUGAGGCCUCGGUGAGUGCUUUUUGUGUGACUGGACAGUGAAGCUGUGUGAAUGACCUGGCUAGUGCUCGGUGUACUCCUAAUUAAAGUGUCUUUUACUCUGUGUUCCCAGGCUCCCUCUUUCCCUUCGGUUGCCGUGUGUGUGCCAGACACCUCUGGCAGGACUAACCCUGUGGCUUUUAUGUCCAAUGUGCUGUGCUGUGUGCCUGCAGAAUUGCCACGAGAGGAAAUACUUCAGAGGGGCUUCCCUCCAGAUAAGCCCUGAAUAUGCCAGGAGGUUUCAGCCGGGAGGAAAGGAGCUGUGGAAGAAAAGCAGCCUAAAAAUAGCCAGCGGGGAUCAUCAGGUUUUCCAGGCAAGAAGAACAAGGAGAGAGAUGAGGGAAUCGGGUUCCAAUUCCUAAUGAUUUGGUGGGUGCAGGAAUGAUUUGUGUGUGUUUUCCAGUCCCUUUUGAUUCCUGAGAUGAUUUUAAAAUGAUGGCUUUAGCAAUCAACUAAAUCGGAGAUGUUGUUUUUGAGAGGAAAUGAUGCCAAAUAAAUGCAGAGUUUUGGGUCA
Long non-coding RNA from Pseudopipra pipra, 622 nucleotides. RefSeq lists it as uncharacterized. The transcript has 2 exons. The record is from RefSeq and is a predicted model, not a curated record. Lineage: Eukaryota; Metazoa; Chordata; Aves; Passeriformes; Pipridae.